Molecule: ribosomal RNA, 230 nt
Filed under: uncultured bacterium
Lineage: Bacteria
Description: partial 16S ribosomal RNA
Rfam family: Bacterial small subunit ribosomal RNA
Source: RNAcentral
UAGGGAAUCUUCGGCAAUGGGGGCAACCCUGACCGAGCAACGCCGCGUGAGUGAAGAAGGUUUUCGGAUCGUAAAGCUCUGUUGUAAGUCAAGAACGGGUGUGAGAGUGGAAAGUUCACACUGUGACGGUAGCUUACCAGAAAGGGACGGCUAACUACGUGCCAGCAGCCGCGGUAAUACGUAGGUCCCGAGCGUUGUCCGGAUUUAUUGGGCGUAAAGCGAGCGCAGGC